ACGGAAGGCAGCAGUGGGGAAUAUUGGGCAAUGGGCGUAAGCCUGACCCAGCAACGCCGCGUGAAGGAAGAAGGUCUUCGGAUUGUAAACUUUUGUUGUCAGCGAAGAAAAAGGACAGUAACUGACGAGGAAGCCCCGGCUAACUACGUGCCAGCAGCCGCGGUAAUACGUAGGGGGCAAGCGUUGUCCGGAAUCACUGGGCGUAAAGGGCGCGUAGGCGGCAUAUUAAGUCAGAUGUGAAAUCCCCGGGCUUAACUCGGGUGUUGCAUUUGAAACUGAUAAGCUUGAGUGCAGGAGAGGAAAGUGGAAUUCCUAGUGUAGCGGUGAAAUGCGUAGAUAUUAGGAGGAACAUCAGUGGCGAAGGCGACUUUCUGGACUGUAACUGACGCUGAGGCGCGAAAGCGUGGGUAGCAAACAGGAUUAGAUACCCUGGUA
Molecule: ribosomal RNA, 435 nt
Filed under: uncultured Gracilibacter sp.
Lineage: Bacteria; Bacillati; Bacillota; Clostridia; Eubacteriales; Gracilibacteraceae
Description: partial 16S ribosomal RNA
Rfam family: Bacterial small subunit ribosomal RNA
Source: RNAcentral